This 240-nucleotide unclassified non-coding RNA is filed under the name soil metagenome. RNAcentral describes it as "partial contains 5.8S ribosomal RNA, internal transcribed spacer 2, and large subunit ribosomal RNA". The record is from RNAcentral.
AACAAGGCGUACCUGCGGACCUGCGGAGGGAUCAUUACAGAGUUGCAAAACUCCCUAAACCAUUGUGAACGUUACCUAGACCGUUGCUUCGGCGGGCGGCCCGGGUCCUUCCCGGCGCCCCUCGGCCCUCGCGGGCGCCCGCCGGAGGUAAACCAAACUAUUGCAUUGUAUGGCCUCUCUGAGUCUUCUGUACUGAAUAAGUCAAAACUUUUAACAACGGAUCUCAGAUCGGAAGAGCAC